This 253-nucleotide unclassified non-coding RNA is filed under the name uncultured Gammaproteobacteria bacterium. Its description in RNAcentral is "contains 16S-23S intergenic spacer region". It matches the Rfam family "Bacterial small subunit ribosomal RNA", at positions 524 to 776 of the family's 1533-position model. The record is from RNAcentral. Lineage: Bacteria; Pseudomonadati; Pseudomonadota; Gammaproteobacteria.
UACGUAGGGUGCAAGCGUUAAUCGGAAUUACUGGGCGUAAAGCGUGCGCAGGCGGUUGUGUAAGACAGGUGUGAAAUCCCCGGGCUUAACCUGGGAAUUGCAUUUGUGACUGCACGACUAGAGUGUGUCUGAGGGGGGUGGAAUUCCACGUGUAGCAGUGAAAUGCGUAGAUAUGUGGAGGAACACCAAUGGCGAAGGCAGCCCCCUGGGAUAACACUGACACUGAGGUGCGAAAGCGUGGGGAGCAAACAGG